This 406-nucleotide ribosomal RNA is filed under the name uncultured bacterium. Its description in RNAcentral is "partial 16S ribosomal RNA". It matches the Rfam family "Bacterial small subunit ribosomal RNA", at positions 30 to 526 of the family's 1533-position model. The record is from RNAcentral.
AUUGAACGCUGGCGGCAGGCUUAACACAUGCAAGUCGAGCGAGCGGCGGACGGGUGAGUAAUGUCUGGGAAACUGCCUGAUGGAGGGGGAUAACUCCUGGAAACGGUAGCUAAUACCGCAUACGGUCAUAGGUGCUCAGAUGGGAUUAGCUAGUUGGUGGGGUAAUGGCUCACCUAGGCGACGAUGCCUAGCUGGUCUGAGAGGCUGACCAGCCACACUGGAACUGAGACACGGCCCAGACUCCUACGGGAGGCAGCAGUAGGGAAUAUUGCACAAUGGGCGCAAGCCUGACGGAGCAAUGCCGCGUGAGUGAAGAAGGUCUUCGGGUUGUAAAGCACUUUCAUCGAGGAAGCGUUACCCGCACAAGAAGCAACGGCUAACUACGUGCCAGCAGCCGCGGUAAUUC